AACGAACGCUGGCGGCAUGCCUAACACAUGCAAGUCGAACGAGACCUUCGGGCCUAGUGGCGCACGGGUGCGUAACGCGUGGGAACCUGCCCUUAGGUUCGGAAUAACUCCCCGAAAGGGGUGCUAAUACCGGAUAAUGUCUUCGGACCAAAGAUUUAUCGCCUUUGGAUGGGCCCGCGUUGGAUUAGCUAGUUGGUAGGGUAAAAGCCUACCAAGGCGACGAUCCAUAGCUGGUCUGAGAGGAUGAUCAGCCACACUGGGACUGAGACACGGCCCAGACUCCUACGGGAGGCAGCAGUGGGGAAUAUUGGACAAUGGGCGAAAGCCUGAUCCAGCAAUGCCGCGUGAGUGAUGAAGGCCCUAGGGUUGUAAAGCUCUUUUACCCGGGAUGAUAAUGACAGUACCGGGAGAAUAAGCUCCGGCUAACUCCGUG
Molecule: ribosomal RNA, 433 nt
Filed under: uncultured bacterium
Lineage: Bacteria
Description: partial 16S ribosomal RNA
Rfam family: Bacterial small subunit ribosomal RNA
Source: RNAcentral